GAUGAACGCUGGCGGCGUGCUUAACACAUGCAAGUCGAGCGAAGCACUUUACUUGGAUUUCUUCGGAAUGACGAGUAUUGUGACUGAGCGGCGGACGGGUGAGUAACGCGUGGGUAACCUGCCUCAUACAGGGGGAUAACAGUUAGAAAUGACUGCUAAUACCGCAUAAGACCACAGCACCGCAUGGUGCAGGGGUAAAAACUCCGGUGGUAUGAGAUGGACCCGCGUCUGAUUAGCUGGUUGGUGGGGUAACGGCCUACCAAGGCAACGAUCAGUAGCCGACCUGAGAGGGCGACCGGCCACAUUGGGACUGAGACACGGCCCAAACUCCUACGGGAGGCAGCAGUGGGGAAUAUUGCACAAUGGGGGAAACCCUGAUGCAGCGACGCCGCGUGAAGGAAGAAGUAUUUCGGUAUGUAAACUUCUAUCAGCAGGGAAGAAAAUGACGGUACCUGACUAAGAAGCCCCGGCUAACUACGUGCCAGCCGCCGCGGUAA
RNAcentral lists this ribosomal RNA (497 nucleotides) under uncultured bacterium. RNAcentral describes it as "partial 16S ribosomal RNA". It matches the Rfam family "Bacterial small subunit ribosomal RNA", at positions 28 to 523 of the family's 1533-position model. The record is from RNAcentral.